UUCUCCCAUAAGAACCCUCGUUAGCGAGUUUGGCGAAGCUCCAAACCUCUUUAACAGCAUCUUUGGUGGAU
Non-coding RNA from Tribolium castaneum (red flour beetle), 71 nucleotides. Lineage: Eukaryota; Metazoa; Arthropoda; Insecta; Coleoptera; Tenebrionidae. The record is from RefSeq and is marked provisional.